This 1179-nucleotide ribosomal RNA is filed under the name Triticum aestivum (bread wheat). RNAcentral describes it as "partial small subunit ribosomal RNA". The record is from RNAcentral. Lineage: Eukaryota; Viridiplantae; Streptophyta; Magnoliopsida; Poales; Poaceae.
AUGAUGGCCUCCGCCACCAUGGCCACCUGCUUCUGCUCCUCCUCCUCUUUCUCUCCACCAGACCUCGCCGCCGUCCAUUCACCCCCAUCAAGCUCCCCUUCUCGCCGUCGCCGUCGCCGGCGGUGGAGCUGCAGAGCGAGCAGCACCGGCGGCACGUACGACCACAACCCGCUGCUGCAGCCACCCCCGGACCCGCACUUCCCGCUGCGCCUCCCCGUCCAGGACGGCAGCAGCGGCAGCCGCCUCCGCAUCUUCUCCGGCACGGCGAACCCGACGCUGGCGGAGGAGAUCGCCUGCUACCUGGGGCUGGAGCUGGGGCUGAUCAAGAUCAAGCGGUUCGCGGACGGGGAGCUGUACGUGCAGCUGCAGGAGAGCGUGCGCGGGAGCGACGUGUUCCUGGUGCAGCCCACCUGCCCGCCGGCCAACGAGAACCUCAUGGAGCUGCUCAUCAUGGUGGACGCCUGCCGCCGCGCCUCCGCCAAGACCAUCACCGCCGUCGUGCCCUACUUCGGCUACGCGCGCGCCGACCGCAAGAUGCAGGGCCGCGAGUCCAUCGCCGCCAAGCUCGUCGCCAACCUCAUCACGGAGGCGGGCGCGCACCGCGUGCUCGCCUGCGACCUCCACUCCGGCCAGUCCAUCGGCUACUUCGACAUCCCCGUGGACCACGUCUACGGCCAGCCCGUCAUCCUCGACUACCUCGCCAGCAAGACCAUCUGCCCCAACGACGUCGUCGUCGUCUCGCCCGACGUCGGGGGCGUCGCCAGGGCGCGCGCCUUCGCCAAGAAGCUCUCCGACGCGCCGCUCGCUAUUGUCGACAAGCGGCGGCUGGGCCACAACCAGGCCGAGGUGAUGAACCUCAUCGGCGACGUGAGGGGGAAGGUGGCCGUCAUGGUGGACGACAUGAUCGACACCGCCGGGACGAUGCACAAGGGCGCGGAGCUGCUCCACAGGGAGGGGGCCAGGGCGGUGUACGCCUGCAGCACCCACGCCGUGCUCAGCCCUCCCGCCGUGGAGAGGCUCUCCGGCGGCCUGUUCCAGGAGGUGAUCAUCACCAACACCGUCCCGGUGCCGCCGGACCAGCGCUUCCCGCAGCUCACCGUGCUCUCCGUCGCCAACCUCCUCGGCGAGACCAUCUGGCGCGUCCACGACGAGUGCUCCGUCAGCAGCAUCUUCCAAUGA